RNAcentral lists this ribosomal RNA (801 nucleotides) under uncultured bacterium. RNAcentral's name for it is "bacterial SSU rRNA". It matches the Rfam family "Bacterial small subunit ribosomal RNA", at positions 554 to 1344 of the family's 1533-position model. The record is from RNAcentral.
CUGGGCGUAAAGAGCUCGUAGGUGGUUUGUCGCGUUGUUCGUGAAAUCUCACGGCUUAACUGUGAGCGUGCGGGCGAUACGGGCAGACUUGAGUACUGCAGGGGAGACUGGAAUCCCUGGUGUAGCGGUGGAAUGCGCAGAUAUCAGGAGGAACACCGGUGGCGAAGGCGGGUCUCUGGGCAGUAACUGACGCUGAGGAGCGAAAGCGUGGGGAGCGAACAGGAUUAGAUACCCUGGUAGUCCACGCCGUAAACGGUGGGUACUAGGUGUGGGUUUCCUUCCUUGGGAUCCGUGCCGUAGCUAACGCAUUAAGUACCCCGCCUGGGGAGUACGGCCGCAAGGCUAAAACUCAAAGAAAUUGACGGGGGCCCGCACAAGCGGCGGAGCAUGUGGAUUAAUUCGAUGCAACGCGAAGAACCUUACCUGGGUUUGACAUGCACAGGACGCCGGCAGAGAUGUCGGUUCCCUUGUGGCCUGUGUGCAGGUGGUGCAUGGCUGUCGUCAGCUUCGUGUCGUGAGAUGUUGGCGUUAAGUCCGCGCAACCGAGCGCAACCCCUUGUCUCAUCGUUGCCAGUCGGGUAAUGCUCGGGGACUCGUGUGAGACUGUCCGGGGUCAACUCGGAGGAAGGUGGGGAUGACGUCAAGUCAUCAUGCCCCUUAUGUCCAGGGCUUCACACAUGCUACAAUGGCCGGUACAAAGGGCUGCGAUGCCGCGAGGUUAAGCGAAUCCUUUUAAAGCCGGUCUCAGUUCGGAUCGGGGUCUGCAACUCGACCCCGUGAAGUCGGAGUCGCUAGUAAUCG